GGAUAUGUUAUUUGAUCCAUGUACCCGUAAAGGUUCACUGGAAUCCUACAUGUGAGGGAAAAGAUUCAGGAAAAAAUUGUCAGAAAAACGUACUGAACGGCAGGGUACAAUGGUCAUGUUUCCAGAAAGCGAUUUUUACACAGCAGAAGAACAAAUGGAGGCCGAGGAAUACAUGAGGUUGACGCCUUUAUAUUCAUAUGAUAUAAGAAAUCACAAUAGCAACGAAAUGCUACAUUUGAUGAAAAUUACUUCAAAACCGAAGCGAUUUACCCGCGCCUGGAAGAUUUUACGGAGGCCAUAAAAGAAGAUUUUUGUUACUGAAGAAAGGACUUAUGGAAACCUUCCUGUCCAAUUGGGAGAAGGUGGAGAGUCAAUUACAAGAGUUUGCCAUGCAGAGACUUCUUGAUCAUUUCGGCAAUCUUAAAGAGACAAAAGGAAGCUGUAGGACAGUUCGUAGUAUAAUGUGCUACUUCACGCCGCAGCCAACACACAGCCUGCCCAACAAAAAGUUACCUGGUGUUUUAGAUAUUAAUGGGGCAUAUUUCAUAAAGAUUGAUAAAACAGCAGUCGCACUUGAUUCCAAAUCUUUUGAACAAUUAAUAGGUUACCUCCUAAUGUAUUACCACAUUCUCGAUAUUAUUUUCCCACCAUUAUUGAAAAUUGUGUUAAGAUUUCUUGAAACAAAUGAGAAUCACUUUUUGAAAUAACUACU
Daphnia pulicaria is the source of this 712-nucleotide long non-coding RNA. RefSeq lists it as uncharacterized. The record is from RefSeq and is a predicted model, not a curated record. NCBI's taxonomy places the organism in Eukaryota, Metazoa, Arthropoda, Branchiopoda, Diplostraca, Daphniidae. The transcript is spliced from 4 exons.